UAGAUGCGAGAGUAGAGCAUAUCAAUAAGCGGAGGAAAAGAAACUAACAAGGAUUCCCUUAGUAACGGCGAGUGAAGCGGGAAGAGCUCAAAUUUGAAAUCUUCAAGGUUCUACCUUGACGAAUUGUAGUUUAAAGAAGUGUUUUCUGUUAGAUGAGUAGCAAAAGUUCCUUGGAAUGGGACAUCAUAGAGGGUGAGAAUCCCGUAUUUGGUUAUUCAUUCUAGCUUUGUGAUACACUUUCAAAGAGUCGGAUUGUUUGGGAAUGCAGUCCAAAAUGGGUGGUAAAUUUCAUCUAAAGCUAAAUAUUGGCGAGAGACCGAUAGCGAACAAGUACCGUGAGGGAAAGAUGAAAAGAACUUUGAAAAGAGAGUUAGACAGUACGUGAAAUUGUCAAAAGGGAAGCGUUUGACACCAGUGUUGUUUUUCCGAAAAUCAAUUACGAAUGGCUUGAUUUUGUGUUGUAUUGACCUUAUCAGCUUUCUGCACUUUUUUCGAGUCUUUCUUAAUGCACUUUUCGGUUAACAAGUCAACAUCAAUUUCUUUUGUUGUAAAAGAGUAUUCGGAAGGUGGCUUUCUUUUCGGAGAAAGUGUUUAUAGCCCUAUACUUCUACAAUCGGAGAGAUUGAGGUCUGCAGCGUAGAUCCUUCGGGGUUAGAUACACUUGUGCUAAGUUGUAGCUUUUCAUAGACAACUUGUUGACUAUGUUUAGUCAUGCGGCUUACUCGCUUGUGCUAUUUUACCUACGCUUAGGAUGUUGAGCGCAUGUCUCUCUCU
RNAcentral lists this ribosomal RNA (774 nucleotides) under uncultured Neocallimastigales. RNAcentral's name for it is "partial large subunit ribosomal RNA". It matches the Rfam family "Eukaryotic large subunit ribosomal RNA", at positions 22 to 637 of the family's 3401-position model. Lineage: Eukaryota; Fungi; Neocallimastigomycota; Neocallimastigomycetes; Neocallimastigales. The record is from RNAcentral.